Molecule: long non-coding RNA, 846 nt
Filed under: Vulpes vulpes (red fox)
Lineage: Eukaryota; Metazoa; Chordata; Mammalia; Carnivora; Canidae
Description: lncRNA (ENSVVUG00000006341.1)
Source: RNAcentral
UGCUGGCUGAGCCCGCGGCCACGGCCACGGCGGCGGCGGCGGCGGCGGGAGCUGGAUGCUCUCGGGCUCCGUGCGGCUCCAGCCGUUUUCCUCCCUGGUGCAGCGCCAACGCGUCCCCGCGGGAGAGGGAAACCCACGGCGCGUAGCUGGAGAACUCUGCUGUCUCAGUCUAGGGGCUCCUCGGGAGAAAGCCAGGUGCCCCCAGGUGACGCCGGUGUCCCAAAACGGCCCCGGCACGCCGGCCGCCAGCUUGCACCUUUUGGGAACCGCGACCGCCGAGCGUCUUCCAGCGCCUGCAAGCAGGGCGCGCGGGGGAGAGUGGUGUCCACCUCGUGGGCAGGGGCGACGAGGACACCGAGGAUGGACGCACGGAGCUGGCGCGCGGGGUGUUGCUGUCUCCUCCUUCUGGCUCUGGUUGGGUCUCCUCGGAGCGAGGGAAUGCAGAGCUGCGAAGAAGUUCGGAAACUUUUCCAGGGGCGCCUGGUGGGAGCUGUCAAGGGGCUCCCGGAUUCGCCGCGGGCAGGAUCUGAUCUUCAGGUUUGUGUAUCCAAAAAACCUACAUGUUGCAGCAGGAGGAUGGAGGAGAGAUACCAGAUUGCAGCUCGUCAAGAUAUGCAGCAAGUGCUUCAAACAUCCAGUUCAACAUUAAAGUUUUUGAUAUCGCGAAAUGCUGCAGCUUUUCAAGACAAAAAUUUGUCAUUUGAACUGGUUGAACCAGAACUAGAAGACUUUAACCAAACAGACGGAGUGAUAUGAUGAUUUUUUUCUCAUAAAAAUGCACAACAUGCACAAUAUGGAUAAUGCAUUGUAGAGAUAAAGGGACAAUAAACAAGUUUGACCAGAACA